ACCGUUAUAACCGGCGAUUUCCGAAUGGGGAAACCCAGUGUGUUUCGACACACUAUCAUUAACUGAAUCCAUAGGUUAAUGAGGCGAACCGGGGGAACUGAAACAUCUAAGUACCCCGAGGAAAAGAAAUCAACCGAGAUUCCCCCAGUAGCGGCGAGCGAACGGGGAGGAGCCCAGAGCCUGAAUCAGUGUGUGUGUUAGUGGAAGCGUCUGGAAAGGCGUGCGAUACAGGGUGACAGCCCCGUACACAAAAAUGCACAUAUUGUGAGCUCGAUGAGUAGGGCGGGACACGUGGUAUCCUGUCUGAAUAUGGGGGGACCAUCCUCCAAGGCUAAAUACUCCUGACUGACCGAUAGUGAACCAGUACCGUGAGGGAAAGGCGAAAAGAACCCCGGCGAGGGGAGUGAAAAAGAACCUGAAACCGUGUACGUACAAGCAGUGGGAGCCUCUUAAUGGGGUGACUGCGUACCUUUUGUAUAAUGGGUCAGCGACUUAUAUUCUGUAGCAAGGUUAACCGAAUAGGGGAGCCGAAGGGAAACCGAGUCUUAACUGGGCGUUAAGUUGCAGGGUAUAGACCCGAAACCCGGUGAUCUAGCCAUGGGCAGGUUGAAGGUUGGGUAACACUAACUGGAGGACCGAACCGACUAAUGUUGAAAAAUUAGCGGAUGACUUGUGGCUGGGGGUGAAAGGCCAAUCAAACCGGGAGAUAGCUGGUUCUCCCCGAAAGCUAUUUAGGUAGCGCCUCGUGAAUUCAUCUCCGGGGGUAGAGCACUGUUUCGGCAAGGGGGUCAUCCCGACUUACCAACCCGAUGCAAACUGCGAAUACCGGAGAAUGUUAUCACGGGAGACACACGGCGGGUGCUAACGUCCGUCGUGAAGAGGGAAACAACCCAGACCGCCAGCUAAGGUCCCAAAGUCAUGGUUAAGUGGGAAACGAUGUGGGAAGGCCCAGACAGCCAGGAUGUUGGCUUAGAAGCAGCCAUCAUUUAAAGAAAGCGUAAUAGCUCACUGGUCGAGUCGGCCUGCGCGGAAGAUGUAACGGGGCUAAACCAUGCACCGAAGCUGCGGCAGCGACACUAUGUGUUGUUGGGUAGGGGAGCGUUCUGUAAGCCUGUGAAGGUGGCCUGUGAGGGUUGCUGGAGGUAUCAGAAGUGCGAAUGCUGACAUAAGUAACGAUAAAGCGGGUGAAAAGCCCGCUCGCCGGAAGACCAAGGGUUCCUGUCCAACGUUAAUCGGGGCAGGGUGAGUCGACCCCUAAGGCGAGGCCGAAAGGCGUAGUCGAUGGGAAACAGGUUAAUAUUCCUGUACUUGGUGUUACUGCGAAGGGGGGACGGAGAAGGCUAUGUUGGCCGGGCGACGGUUGUCCCGGUUUAAGCGUGUAGGCUGGUUUUCCAGGCAAAUCCGGAAAACCAAGGCUGAGGCGUGAUGACGAGGCACUACGGUGCUGAAGYGACAAAUGCCCUGCUUCCAGGAAAAGCCUCUAAGCAUCAGGUAACAUCAAAUCGUACCCMAAACCGACACAGGUGGUCAGGUAGAGAAUACCAAGGCGCUUGAGAGAACUCGGGUGAAGGAACUAGGCAAAAUGGUGCCGUAACUUCGGGAGAAGGCACGCUGAUAUGUAGGUGAAGCGACUUGCUCGUGGAGCUGAAAUCAGUCGAAGAUACCAGCUGGCUGCAACUGUUUAUUAAAAACACAGCACUGUGCAAACACGAAAGUGGACGUAUACGGUGUGACGCCUGCCCGGUGCCGGAAGGUUAAUUGAUGGGGUUAGCGGUAACGCGAAGCUCUUGAUCGAAGCCCCGGUAAACGGCGGCCGUAACUAUAACGGUCCUAAGGUAGCGAAAUUCCUUGUCGGGUAAGUUCCGACCUGCACGAAUGGCGUAAUGAUGGCCAGGCUGUCUCCACCCGAGACUCAGUGAAAUUGAACUCGCUGUGAAGAUGCAGUGUACCCGCGGCAAGACGGAAAGACCCCGUGAACCUUUACUAUAGCUUGACACUGAACAUUGAGCCUUGAUGUGUAGGAUAGGUGGGAGGCUUUGAAGUGUGGACGCCAGUCUGCAUGGAGCCGACCUUGAAAUACCACCCUUUAAUGUUUGAUGUUCUAACGUUGGCCCGUAAUCCGGGUUGCGGACAGUGUCUGGUGGGUAGUUUGACUGGGGCGGUCUCCUCCUAAAGAGUAACGGAGGAGCACGAAGGUUGGCUAAUCCUGGUCGGACAUCAGGAGGUUAGUGCAAUGGCAUAAGCCAGCUUGACUGCGAGCGUGACGGCGCGAGCAGGUGCGAAAGCAGGUCAUAGUGAUCCGGUGGUUCUGAAUGGAAGGGCCAUCGCUCAACGGAUAAAAGGUACUCCGGGGAUAACAGGCUGAUACCGCCCAAGAGUUCAUAUCGACGGCGGUGUUUGGCACCUCGAUGUCGGCUCAUCACAUCCUGGGGCUGAAGUAGGUCCCAAGGGUAUGGCUGUUCGCCAUUUAAAGUGGUACGCGAGCUGGGUUUAGAACGUCGUGAGACAGUUCGGUCCCUAUCUGCCGUGGGCGCUGGAGAACUGAGGGGGGCUGCUCCUAGUACGAGAGGACCGGAGUGGACGCAUCACUGGUGUUCGGGUUGUCAUGCCAAUGGCACUGCCCGGUAGCUAAAUGCGGAAGAGAUAAGUGCUGAAAGCAUCUAAGCACGAAACUUGCCCCGAGAUGAGUUCUCCCUGACUCCUUGAGRGUCCUGAAGGAACGUUGAAGACGACGACGUUGAUAGGCCGGGUGUGUAAGCGCAGCGAUGCGUUGAGCUAACCGGUACUAAUGAACCGUGAGGCUUAACCUU
This 2810-nucleotide ribosomal RNA is filed under the name Escherichia coli. RNAcentral's name for it is "bacterial LSU rRNA". Lineage: Bacteria; Pseudomonadati; Pseudomonadota; Gammaproteobacteria; Enterobacterales; Enterobacteriaceae. The record is from RNAcentral.